This 119-nucleotide small nuclear RNA is filed under the name Crocodylus porosus (Australian saltwater crocodile). RNAcentral's name for it is "U2 spliceosomal RNA (ENSCPRG00005003692.1)". It matches the Rfam family "U2 spliceosomal RNA", at positions 67 to 185 of the family's 192-position model. From Rfam's summary of the family: U2 is a small nuclear RNA (snRNA) component of the spliceosome (involved in pre-mRNA splicing). Complementary binding between U2 snRNA (in an area lying towards the 5' end but 3' to hairpin I) and the branchpoint sequence (BPS) of the intron results the bulging out of an unpaired adenosine, on the BPS, which initiates a nucleophilic attack at the intronic 5' splice site, thus starting the first of two transesterification reactions that mediate splicing. Lineage: Eukaryota; Metazoa; Chordata; Crocodylia; Crocodylidae. The record is from RNAcentral.
UGUCCUCCAUAGGAGGUCUAUAUUGAGCAGAUUCUUUUUGGUAUCGGGUGGUGGAACCGGAGCGUGCUCCAUCCACUCCAUGCAUUGACCUGGUAUUACAGUGCUUCCAGGACCGGUGC